RNAcentral lists this non-coding RNA (137 nucleotides) under Onchocerca ochengi. Its description in RNAcentral is "Eukaryotic large subunit ribosomal RNA". It matches the Rfam family "Eukaryotic large subunit ribosomal RNA", at positions 3015 to 3153 of the family's 3401-position model. Lineage: Eukaryota; Metazoa; Nematoda; Chromadorea; Rhabditida; Onchocercidae. The record is from Rfam by way of RNAcentral.
GAUAGUAGUCCUGCUCAGUAGAAAGAACCAUCAGGUUCAAAAUUUGGUUCAUGUGUUUGACCGAUUGGACAAUGUUACGAAGCUACUAUCUGAGGCAUUAUGACUAGACAUCUCUAAGUCAGAAUUCCUUCUUCAAA